RNAcentral lists this ribosomal RNA (494 nucleotides) under uncultured bacterium. RNAcentral's name for it is "partial 16S ribosomal RNA". It matches the Rfam family "Bacterial small subunit ribosomal RNA", at positions 28 to 507 of the family's 1533-position model. The record is from RNAcentral.
GACGAACGCUGGCGGCGCGCUUAACACAUGCAAGUCGAACGGAAAGGCCUGCUUUCCCUUGUGGAUUGCGGGUACUCGAGUGGCGAACGGGUGAGUAACACGUGAGUGAUCUGCCCCCAACUUGGGUAUAAGCCUGGGAAACUGGGUCUAAUUCCCGAUAGGACUGCAGGGUGGUGCCUGUGGUGGAAAACGAUUUUCUAGUGGUUGGGGAUGAGCUCGCGGCCUAUCAGCUUGUUGGUGGGGUAAUGGCCUACCAAGGCGGCGACGGGUAGCCGGCCUGAGAGGGUGGACGGCCACAGUGGGACUGAGAGACGGCCCAGACUCCUACGGGAGGCAGCAGUGGGGAAUAUUGCACAAUGGGCGGAAGCCUGAUGCAGCGACGCCGCGUGGGGGAUGACGGCCUUCGGGUUGUAAACUCCUUUCGACCGCGAGGAAGCCACCUGGUUGGAAGGGUGGUGACGGUAGUGGUAGAAGAAGCACCGGCUAACUACGUG